RNAcentral lists this ribosomal RNA (483 nucleotides) under uncultured bacterium. RNAcentral's name for it is "partial 16S ribosomal RNA". It matches the Rfam family "Bacterial small subunit ribosomal RNA", at positions 28 to 507 of the family's 1533-position model. The record is from RNAcentral.
GACGAACGCUGGCGGCGUGCUUAACACAUGCAAGUCGAACGCUGAAGCUCAGCUUUUGUUGGGUGGACGAGUGGCGAACGGGUGAGUAACACGUGAGUAACCUGCCCCCUUCUUUGGGAUAACGCCCGGAAACGGGUGCUAAUACUGGAUAUUCACUGGUCUUCGCAUGGGGGUUGGUGGAAAGGGUUUUUCUGGUGGGGGAUGGGCUCGCGUCCUAUCAGCUUGUUGGUGGGGUGAUGGCCUACCAAGGCUUUGACGGGUAGCCGGCCUGAGAGGGUGACCGGUCACAUUGGGACGGAGAUACGGCCCAGACGCCGACGGGAGGCAGCAGUGGGGGAAAUUGCACAAUGGGCGCAAGCCUGAUGCAGCGACGCCGCGGGAGGGAUGGAGGCCUUCGGGUUUUGAACCUCUUUCGCUCAUGGUCAAGCCGCAACAAUGGUUGUGGUGAGGGUAGUGGGUAAAGAAGCGCCGGCUAACUACGUG